This 253-nucleotide ribosomal RNA is filed under the name uncultured bacterium. RNAcentral's name for it is "partial 16S ribosomal RNA". It matches the Rfam family "Bacterial small subunit ribosomal RNA", at positions 524 to 776 of the family's 1533-position model. The record is from RNAcentral.
UACGGGGGGGGCAAGCGUUGUUCGGAAUUACUGGGCGUAAAGGGCUCGUAGGGGGCCAACUAAGUCAGACGUGAAAUCCCUCGGCUUAACCGGGGAACUGCGUCUGAUACUGGAUGGCUUGAGUUCGGGAGAGGGAUGCGGAAUUCCAGGUGUAGCGGUGAAAUGCGUAGAUAUCUGGAGGAACACCGGUGGCGAAGGCGGCAUCCUGGACCGACACUGACGCUGAGGAGCGAAAGCCAGGGGAGCAAACGGG